AAAAAAAAAAAUAAAACUAGAAACUAAGACCAAAUAUUAGAACAAAAGAUGCUCCCAUUAUCCCAUUACUCAGGAAGUUACAAAGGCUUCAGGUGUUCUGCCAGGAACAGAGACCAAAUAUUCAUUCCUUUUUAUGUCAACGACGCCCAUAGGAAAUUACGGCUUGUCCGGAAAGCACUUGGUCCUGAUGCGUUCUGGCAGCUACGGAAGACAGGAAGAGAGCGAGCAGCUGGGGAAGGAGAGGAGGGACCUCGAACUGUGCGUCUUGAUUACGGCACCGCAGGAAUGCCCUGUCUCUGCUGGGAUGCUGAGCUCUGCGGGAGAAAAUGACACAACCCACAGAUUUGCACCAGAGGGAGAAGAAACCUAGGAUGACGAGGGGUCACAGAGGCCGAAUCUCUGUGAAGAGUAUUUCAAGAAGCUGACGCUUUUCCUGACUAUGGAGAGAUCGGUUCAAGUGACAGCAGGAUUCCUGGCGGUGGCAACACGGAGUCACUGCUGAUGAAAAGGGGCCUUCAGUGGCCUGGGGAGGACAGUGCCACGUGGAGCAAAAGCUAAGGGACACACAGGAGAGGUCCUGGAGAAGGUGAGCACGUACACAGCCCACCAAGAUGCCUAGCAGCAAAGGUGUACAUGUACACAGCCCCCCAAGAUACCUAGCAGCAAAGGUGAGCAUGUACACAGCCCCCCAAGAUGCCUAGCAGCAAAGGUGAGUAUGUACACAGCCCCCCAAGAUGCCUAGCAGCAAAGGUGAGCAUGUACACAGCCCCCCAAGAUGCCUAGCAGCAAAGGUGAGCAUGUACACAGCCCCCCAAGAUGCCUAGCAGCAAAGGAGCAGGGAAAGAAAGUGGGAUCUAGAGGGGAAAGUGGGAGAAGAGAUUUUCCUUUU
RNAcentral lists this long non-coding RNA (889 nucleotides) under Homo sapiens (human). Its description in RNAcentral is "HSALNT0339099". The record is from RNAcentral. Lineage: Eukaryota; Metazoa; Chordata; Mammalia; Primates; Hominidae.